UAUCGCGGCCACGCUGCUGAUAAAAAAGCGAAGAAGAAAUAAGGUAGGAGGAAGAGAUGGAAACUAUCGCUAAACAUCGCCAUGCUCGUUCUUCUGCUCAGAAGGUUCGCCUUGUUGCUGACCUGAUUCGCGGUAAGAAAGUGUCGCAGGCUCUGGAUAUUCUGACCUACACCAACAAGAAAGCGGCUGUACUGGUCAAGAAAGUUCUGGAAUCUGCCAUUGCUAACGCUGAACACAACGAUGGCGCUGACAUUGACGAUCUGAAAGUUACGAAAAUUUUCGUAGACGAAGGCCCGAGCAUGAAGCGCAUUAUGCCGCGUGCAAAAGGU
RNAcentral lists this unclassified non-coding RNA (329 nucleotides) under uncultured fungus. RNAcentral describes it as "partial internal transcribed spacer 1". Lineage: Eukaryota; Fungi. The record is from RNAcentral.